AUUAAUUUAAUGGCUGCAGUAUUUUAACUGUACAAAGGUAGCAUAAUAAUUAGUUCCUUAAUUAGGGACUGGAAUGAAGGAUUGAACGAGAUAAAAAUUGUCUCUUUUUAAAUUUUAUAAUUUUAUUUUUAAGUUAAAAAGCUUAAAUAUUAUUAAAAGACGAGAAGACCCUAUAGAGUUUUAUAAUUAUAAUAUAAAUAAGUUUUAGUAAUAAAAUUUUAUUUAUACAAUGAUUAUUUGAUUGGGGUGAUUUUAAAAUUUAAAAAACUUUAAUAUAAUUUACAUUAGUAUAUGAAUAAUUGAUCCAUAUUUUAUGAUUAAAAGAUUAAAUUACCUUAGGGAUAACAGCGUAAUUUUUUUUAAGAGUUCUAAUCGAAAAAAAAGAUUGCGACCUCGAUGUUGGAUUAAAAUAAAUUUUUGGUGUAGAAGCUAAAAUAUUAGGUCUGUUCGACCUUUAAAAUUUUACAUGAUCUGAGUUUAAAUCGGCGUGAGCCAGGUUGGUUUCUAUCUUUAAUUAAAUAGAAUAUUUUAGUACGAAAGGACCAUAUAUUCAUAAAGUUUAUUUAUUUAUGAUUAAUAUUA
This 582-nucleotide ribosomal RNA is filed under the name Ptomaphagus torodei. Its description in RNAcentral is "partial 16S ribosomal RNA". The stretch from base 341 to 499 matches the Rfam family "Bacterial large subunit ribosomal RNA", at positions 2473 to 2632 of the family's 2925-position model. RNAcentral also lists the same sequence under 1 other name. Lineage: Eukaryota; Metazoa; Arthropoda; Insecta; Coleoptera; Leiodidae. The record is from RNAcentral.